Molecule: ribosomal RNA, 267 nt
Filed under: Triticum aestivum (bread wheat)
Lineage: Eukaryota; Viridiplantae; Streptophyta; Magnoliopsida; Poales; Poaceae
Description: partial small subunit ribosomal RNA
Source: RNAcentral
AUGAAUAACACAAACCUUGCAAUCUUGAGCUAGAAUGUGUGAGGGUUGAACUCGCUGGCGAAGAGAACUGAUGUAUGUCAGGUUGCCGAAGCGCAGCGAGCGUCAAUUCUCUGUCUUCAAGAAACAAAGAUUGAGAGCUGGCUGCAAACCACUGUCAGAGACCUGGGAGGAAACACAUUAGAGGGUUGUGCCAUUCUCCCAGCCAUGGGCACUAGGGGAGGUGCUGCAAUCCUCUGGAACAAGAACAUUGUUAGCUUUGCAUCAUAG